RNAcentral lists this ribosomal RNA (253 nucleotides) under uncultured bacterium. RNAcentral's name for it is "partial 16S ribosomal RNA". It matches the Rfam family "Bacterial small subunit ribosomal RNA", at positions 524 to 776 of the family's 1533-position model. The record is from RNAcentral.
UACGUAGGGUGCGAGCGUUAAUCGGAAUUACUGGGCGUAAAGCGUGCGCAGGCGGUUUUGUAAGUCAGAUGUGAAAUCCCCGGGCUCAACCUGGGAAUGGCAUUUGUGACUGCACGGCCAGAGUGUGUCAGAGGGGGGUAGAAUUCCACGUGUAGCAGUGAAAUGCGUAGAUAUGUGGAGGAAUACCGAUGGCGAAGGCAGCCCCCUGGGAUAACACUGACGCUCAUGCACGAAAGCGUGGGGAGCAAACAGG